GGUUUAAGCGUGUAGGUGUGUGUUCCAGGUAAAUCCGGUUCACUUUAACACUGAGGCGUGACGACGAGGCACUACGGUGCUGAAGCAACAAAUGCCCUGCUUCCAGGAAAAGCCUCUAAGCAUCAGGUAACAUCAAAUCGUACCCCAAACCGACACAGGUGGUCAGGUAGAGAAUACCAAGGCGCUUGAGAGAACUCGGGUGAAGGAACUAGGCAAAAUGGUGCCGUAACUUCGGGAGAAGGCACGCUGACAUGUAGGUGAAGUGAUUUACUCAUGGAGCUGAAGUCAGUCGAAGAUACCAGCUGGCUGCAACUGUUUAUUAAAAACACAGCACUGUGCAAACACGAAAGUGGACGUAUACGGUGUGACGCCUGCCCGGUGCCGGAAGGUUAAUUGAUGGGGUCAGCGCAAGCGAAGCUCCUGAUCGAAGCCCCGGUAAACGGCGGCCGUAACUAUAACGGUCCUAAGGUAGCGAAAUUCCUUGUCGGGUAAGUUCCGACCUGCACGAAUGGCGUAAUGAUGGCCAGGCUGUCUCCACCCGAGACUCAGUGAAAUUGAACUCGCUGUGAAGAUGCAGUGUACCCGCGGCAAGACGGAAAGACCCCGUGAACCUUUACUAUAGCUUGACACUGAACAUUGAGCCUUGAUGUGUAGGAUAGGUGGGAGGCUUUGAAGCGUGGACGCCAGUCUGCGUGGAGCCGACCUUGAAAUACCACCCUUUAAUGUUUGAUGUUCUAACGUGGACCCGUUACCCGGGUUGCGGACAGUGUCUGGUGGGUAGUUUGACUGGGGCGGUCUCCUCCUAAAGAGUAACGGAGGAGCACGAAGGUUGGCUAAUCCUGGUCGGACAUCAGGAGGUUAGUGCAAUGGCAUAAGCCAGCUUGACUGCGAGCGUGACGGCGCGAGCAGGUGCGAAAGCAGGUCAUAGUGAUCCGGUGGUUCUGAAUGGAAGGGCCAUCGCUCAACGGAUAAAAGGUACUCCGGGGAUAACAGGCUGAUACCGCCCAAGAGUUCAUAUCGACGGCGGUGUUUGGCACCUCGAUGUCGGCUCAUCACAUCCUGGGGCUGAAGUAGGUCCCAAGGGUAUGGCUGUUCGCCAUUUAAAGUGGUACGCGAGCUGGGUUUAGAACGUCGUGAGACAGUUCGGUCCCUAUCUGCCGUGGGCGCUGGAGAACUGAGGGGGGCUGCUCCUAGUACGAGAGGACCGGAGUGGACGCAUCACUGGUGUUCGGGUUGUCAUGCCAAUGGCACUGCCCGGUAGCUAAAUGCGGAAGAGAUAAGUGCUGAAAGCAUCUAAGCACGAAACUUGCCCCGAGAUGAGUUCUCCCUGAGACUACGAGUCUCCUGAAGGAACGUUGAAGACGACGACGUUGAUAGGCCGGGUGUGUAAGCGCAGCGAUGCGUUGAGCUAACCGGUACUAAUGAACCGUGAGGCUUAACCUUACAACGCCG
Molecule: ribosomal RNA, 1452 nt
Filed under: Salmonella enterica subsp. enterica
Lineage: Bacteria; Pseudomonadati; Pseudomonadota; Gammaproteobacteria; Enterobacterales; Enterobacteriaceae
Description: partial 23S ribosomal RNA
Rfam family: Bacterial large subunit ribosomal RNA
Source: RNAcentral